This 427-nucleotide ribosomal RNA is filed under the name uncultured bacterium. RNAcentral describes it as "partial 16S ribosomal RNA". It matches the Rfam family "Bacterial small subunit ribosomal RNA", at positions 354 to 796 of the family's 1533-position model. The record is from RNAcentral.
GUGGGGAAUAUUGCGCAAUGGGGGAAACCCUGACGCAGCAAUACCGCGUGAGUGAAGAAGGUUUUCGGAUCGUAAAACUCUUUUAUUGGGGAAGAAGAAGUGACGGUACCCAAUGAAGAAGUCCCGGCUAACUACGUGCCAGCAGCCGCGGUAAUACGUAGUGGACAAGCGUUGUCCGGAAUCACUGGGCGUAAAGGGCGCGUAGGCGGUUUUAUAAGUCAGAUGUGAAAGGUACCGGCUCAACCGGUGACGUGCAUUUGAAACUGUAAGACUUGAGUACUGGAGAGGCAAGUGGAAUUCCUAGUGUAGCGGUGAAAUGCGUAGAUAUUAGGAGGAACACCGGUGGCGAAGGCGGCUUGCUGGACAGAUACUGACGCUGAGGUGCGAAAGCGUGGGGAGCGAACAGGAUUAGAAACCCUUGUAGUCC